This 1113-nucleotide long non-coding RNA is filed under the name Bos indicus x Bos taurus (hybrid cattle). RNAcentral describes it as "lncRNA (ENSBIXG00000005010.1)". The record is from RNAcentral. Lineage: Eukaryota; Metazoa; Chordata; Mammalia; Artiodactyla; Bovidae.
GGAAAAUCCCAUGGACAGAGAAGCCUGGCAGGCUACAGUCCAUAGGAUCAUAAAGAGUCAGACACGAAUGAGCGACUAAACACGCACACACGACCAACUUCCAUUCCAGAGAAUGGAAUGGAAGAUUUUAGGUAGAGUUCAUUAUUCUCUUGUGUCCCUUGGCUAGUGAGAUAACAAAACUGCUAUUCAUGUUGGCCACUUGUUUACCUAUAGAGAAAAGGGCACAUCUUAGGUAAACAGAAACCUCUACUCAAAAACAAAGGAAAAAAAUUUUGACUCAUCACUUUGAGUAGAGUCUUACAAUGGCCAACUUUUAAUAUGUAUGACUCAAAAAGAGCAAAUACAUGUUUCAGAAGAAGAAUGAGACAUCCUCCAGUCCUUUGGCAGGUCUUGGUCACAAAUAUAUAUGAAUUAUAUUCCUACUUUAUAUGCAAAGUGUUCAAUGGAUGGUCAUCUGAAUCUCCACCUCUCUUUCUCUCAUUUUCUUUUAAAAUAGAAAGAACUUUUGUUACUUCAAAUGAAAAGACACUUAUGGCAACUGGGAGAAGGAAGCUGGACAGUGUGACAGUAGUUAUAGACUAUUACCACCACUCCAUGCAAAUGUGGACAUAAUUGAGGAACUCGCCUCAGGGUGCAGUUGGAAGACUUCUAUUAAGCAAGAAUUGUCACAGGAAGAAUUUUCCAGGCAAGAGUACUGGAGUGGAUUUCCAUUUCCUUCUCCAAGGAAUCUUCCUGACCCAGCGAUCAAACCUGUGUCUCCUGUCUGGCAGACAAAAUUCUUUACCAUUGAGCCACCUGGGAAGCCCUAAAACCAAAGAUGGUCAUUUCUAUUCAUGUUAUUCACUAACAUUUCCCAAGCAACUAGAAGAAAGCUUGCAAUAUAGAAGAUACUUUAAAAAUAUCUGUUAAAUGGAUGAAUGAUGGGAUGAAAAUAUCUAUUAAAUGGAUAAAUGAGGUCUCUUUGCAUAUAUUUUCAAGUAAUCAUCAUUAAAUUGAUGUUUUUGCUUUCCAACAAAUCAGAUGGACUUCAGGUCCUUCAAAAACUGUUUCCAACUCCAACCACAUUACUUGUUUCACAAUAAAUGGUCAACAGUUGCAACUGAUCUACGAAGU